GUCUGUAGCUCAGCUGGAUAGAGCAUCGCCCUUCUAAGGCGGUUGUCGGGGGUUCGAAUCCCUCCAGG
This 68-nucleotide transfer RNA is filed under the name bovine gut metagenome. It matches the Rfam family "tRNA", at positions 5 to 66 of the family's 71-position model. Rfam says of the family: Transfer RNA (tRNA) molecules are approximately 80 nucleotides in length. Their secondary structure includes four short double-helical elements and three loops (D, anti-codon, and T loops). The record is from RNAcentral.